RNAcentral lists this ribosomal RNA (271 nucleotides) under uncultured archaeon. Its description in RNAcentral is "partial 16S ribosomal RNA". It matches the Rfam family "Archaeal small subunit ribosomal RNA", at positions 477 to 747 of the family's 1478-position model. The record is from RNAcentral.
CAGCGCCACGAGUGGUGACCACAUUUAUUGGGCCUAAAGCGUCCGUAGCCGGUUUAGUAAAUUCUUUGUGAAAUCGUCAGGCUUAACUUGACGGCGUGCAGAGAAGACUGCUAAACUUGGAACCGGGAGGAGCUAGAAGUAUUUAAGGGGGAGCGGUAAAAUGUUAUAAUCCCUUGAAGACUACCUGUGGCGAAGGCGUCUAGCUAGAACGGAUUCGACGGUGAGGGACGAAAGCCAGGGGAGCGAACCGGAUUAGAUACCCGAGUAGUCC